RNAcentral lists this long non-coding RNA (3174 nucleotides) under Populus trichocarpa (black cottonwood). Its description in RNAcentral is "long non-coding RNA (PTRI_LNC001998)". Lineage: Eukaryota; Viridiplantae; Streptophyta; Magnoliopsida; Malpighiales; Salicaceae. The record is from RNAcentral.
UGGUUUCUAGAACAGAUCUAACGGUUACGGAUCCUGUUUGUGCACUUUUUUCUUUUUCUUUUUUUGACGCACGCAAAUGGAGGCUACGUACGGUUCAGUGACAGUUACUCUUACUAACGGCUUGUUAAUGUGCGCCGGCGAGGUUUUGACUACUUUGCUUGUUUCUGCUCUCUUCAAAACCCAACUCCUCAAGGCUCUGGUAAGUUGUGUUAUUAUUCAUUUUGUUAUUGCUAGAAAGGGUUUUCUUACAUUUUUGCCUAGCUUGUUGUCCUUGAUGCUAACGGGCGCUUUUGCUAUUUAGUACUUGAUUUUCCUAACAGGGUUCCUGCUUUUUCUUGGGUCUCUGUUUGUGUUUUUAGUUUCUCUUUGGUGAGCGUGUUUCAUGUUUAAUUUUAUGCUAACCUGCGCCGAAGGCAGCUGGUUUUGGACCUUUGGUCUGGUAUUUGCCAUCCACGUUGCUAACAUGCGCCACAGUGCCUUUUUUUAGGGGUGUGGACGUUUCUUAGGUCUGGCUUAACGUGCGCCAAUCCUUAGGUGUACGUGGCAUUAUCUUGCUUUUUUGCUUUUAUAUGCAUACUUUAGGCUAAAGUGCGCACCGGCUUGGUAUUUCAGGGGGUGGUUGGUAAUGAGUUUUAAGCUGUAUUUUUGUUAAAUCUGAAUAUUUUUUUGUUUUAAAUUAUUUUUUUAAUUUCUUGUAUCGUUUUGAUGUUUUGAUAUCAAAAAUAAUUUUUUUAAAAUAAAAAUAAUAUUAUUUUAAUAUUUUUCAGAGUAAAAAAUAUUUUGAAAAAUAACCAUAUUAAUGAUUUGUUUAAGACAGUUUGAGUUGUUGGUUUUGUUUGCACGUGUGAGCCGGUUGGAAUUUAAAAAAUAAAAUAAAAAUCUCUGUUUUAAUUUUUUUUUUGAUGUCAUGUUGUAAUGGGAAAAGUCAGGUCAAGUGAGAAGCAUCUUUUGAUGGGGGAAAGGCUGUGUUCGAAUAUUAUUUUCGUUGUGUCUUAUGUUAUGUCAUAGGAGAUAUAACUAUUCCUAGACGACACGUGUUAUUAUUUUAUUUCAUAAAUUCUUAUAAAUAUAAAAAAAAAUGUAAUAAUGAUAUCUUGAUUAUUUCAAGAUGAUAAAUCAGCCAGAGUAGGAAGGGUCUCCACUUUUUGGCAUUUACUGUGAUUUGUCUCUUCCAGCUAUGUGUUUGCUUGCGCGUUUUGGCUUGUCCCACUCCCAUCAACUUGCUUUAUUUUAUUUUAUUAUUCACCACACCAGCCUAAAUUUGUUUAAAUGAAACCAAUAGAGUUUGAAAUGGUCGAGACCCAUUAAAAUAAAGGAGUGAAGUUGUUGAGGGUCGCAAGUUUUAUGUCGUGGCGUAACCUGCUCCGAAUCUUCUAGGUUUAUUCCCCCCCGAAUAGUCAUAGGUGAAGUCACCAGCCUAAUUGAGACGAUAAAGAUGUAAAAGCCACUAUUUUUAUUAAUUUGCUAUUAUGAUCCAUGAUGGAAUCUUUGUACUGAUGCUUUGAGUUUCUCGUAAGUGAGAAAAAGUUGUCCAAACAAUGAAAGAUGAAUUAUAUAUGGAAUCUUGAUUUAGAGUAGUGUGGCCGGUGAAGGGAUGUUUCUCCUGUAUGUGAAGGGAACCUCAUUUCCCUUUCCCAUUGUGGUUGCGGUAUAUAUUCCAGUUGCACCGGGGUCAUGUAGCUCUUUCUUUUCAAAAUUAGGAACAAAGAAUUAUAUACUGUAAAAAAGGGAGAAAAGAACCUGGUUCGCUUUGUAAUGCUCUUUAUUAUGUACUUUAGUGGCUACCUCUUUAAAUGGAGGUACUUUAAUAAGUUUAUGGGCCUUAAUGCUCUCAGUUAUUCGGUCUACCGCACUUUUUGAUACCUUCUCAUCACCCAGCUGAGAAUUCAACUCUUAUUUAUAUACUUUUUUUUUCCCCCUAAUCUACAAUCUUUUCCCACAUGCUUAUGGUAUUAUGGGAUUAAAUAGGUGUCCUAAAUUGAUGUAGUUAGAAGUUGAAAAGUUUCUAAGGCCAAUAGAAACAAAGAAUGUUUAGUUACUGGUUGUUUUCACUUUCGAAAUUAAACUUGCAAAAUGAAGCCAGCCUCUUUGAUUUCCUAAAUAUAUUUUUAUUCAUCAAGUGGUGAAAGUGUUCCAAGCGGCUAGACAUCGAUUUCACGGGUAAAAUCGUCUUAAGAGUUUUUUUAUAUGUUUGCUUGCUGCACUACAUGUCUACGCCGUUGCUGUCUUCUUAAUAUUUUGUUUGUCAUUUAAGCAUAUGCGAUGGUGCUUUUUUAUUUAGCUCGUUCUUGGGAAACUAUAUUGUAUUACUAUACUAUUUAAUGUACUAAUUUGGAGACAUUGUGUCCAGCAAUCUUUCAUUGCCCAUGAUAUACAAAGUCUCCGUUUGACCUGCUAUGAAAUGCUAUUUUGUAAAAAUGGUUUCAGGAUCCCAGUGGGUUGUUGCUGACUAACAAACCUAGAAUGGACGGAGAUGAGGCACAAGGCCAUGACAAGCCAGUUGAUGCAGAAGGAGAUGAUGACAAUGAUGAUGACGAUGAUGAUGAGGAGGAAGGGGGUGAUGGAUUAGGAGAAGGUGAAGAGGAAUUGUCCUCUGAAGAUGGAGGUGACUUGGGCAACAAUCCCAACAAUAACAAGAGUAACUCAAAGAAGGGUCCAGGUGGUGGAGCAGCAGGUGGGGCAGAAGAGAAUGGAGAAGAGGAAGAAGAUGACGACGAAGAAGGCGAAGGUCAAGAUGACGACGACGAUGAUGAAGAUGACGACGACGACGACGAUGACGGUGGAGAAGAGGAUGAAGAAGAAGUUGAGGAGGUAGAGAAUGAGGACGAGGAAGAAGAAGAUGAAGACGAGGAAGCCCUCCAGCCCCCAAAGAAGAGGAAGAAGUGAAGUAGGAGAAUAGUGGAGCCUCCUCAGUUCAGUUAUACUGUUUGUUUCUCAGUGACUUGUUAACUUUGUCGAUCUUCUUAGAUUACGAGGGGGGCUGUUUAGGAUAAUGGUAUUAUGCAUAAUUAUCGUACUUUCCAUGCAUGGUUAGAGUACACUCUAGAACUGUGAGCUGCGGCGGCAAUGAUUAAUUCGAAAAAUGUAAUGAUUAUGAUCUUUAAGCCACAUUUAAUCAGAGUUUCUAUUGUUGCUGAUAUACUGCUGCUACUUGCAAAUGGGUUGGUUUUAUGG